Molecule: ribosomal RNA, 253 nt
Filed under: uncultured bacterium
Lineage: Bacteria
Description: partial 16S ribosomal RNA
Rfam family: Bacterial small subunit ribosomal RNA
Source: RNAcentral
UACGUAGGGGGCAAGCGUUGUCCGGAUUUAUUGGGCGUAAAGAGCGUGUAGGCGGCCAUACAGGUCAGCUGUGAAAACUCGAGGCUCAACCUCGAGACGUCGGUUGAAACCGUAUGGCUAGAGUCCGGAAGAGGAGAGUGGAAUUCCCGGUGUAGCGGUGAAAUGCGCAGAUAUCGGGAAGAACACCCGUGGCGAAGGCGGCUCUCUGGGACGGUACUGACGCUCAUGCACGAAAGCGUGGGGAGCAAACAGG